GAUGAACGCUGGCGGCGUGCUUAACACAUGCAAGUCGAACGGAAAGGCUCCUGCUUGCUGGGGUACUCGAGUGGCGAACGGGUGAGUAACACGUGGGUGAUCUGCCCUGCACUUCGGGAUAAGUCUAGGAAACUGGGUCUAAUACCGGAUAGGACGAUGGUCUGGAUGCCAUUGUGGAGAGUUUUUUCGGUGUGGGAUGAGCCCGCGGCCUAUCAGCUUGUUGGUGGGGUAAUGGCCUACCAAGGCGUCGACGGGUAGCCGGCCUGAGAGGGUGUACGGCCACAUUGGGACUGAGAUACGGCCCAGACUCCUACGGGAGGCAGCAGUGGGGAAUAUUGCACAAUGGGCGCAAGCCUGAUGCAGCGACGCCGCGUGGGGGAUGACGGCCUUCGGGUUGUAAACUGCUUUCGCUAGGGACGAAGCGCGAGUGACGGUACCGGGUGAAGAAGCACCGGCUAACUACGUG
This 466-nucleotide ribosomal RNA is filed under the name uncultured bacterium. Its description in RNAcentral is "partial 16S ribosomal RNA". It matches the Rfam family "Bacterial small subunit ribosomal RNA", at positions 28 to 507 of the family's 1533-position model. The record is from RNAcentral.